CCAAUAGCGUAUAUUAAAGUUGUUGCAGUUAAAAAGCUCGUAGUUGAAUUUCAGGCCUGGCUGGACGGUCCGCCCUUCGGGUGAGUACUGUCUGUGGUCGGGUCCUACCUUCUGGCGAAGCGUCAUGGCCUUAACCGGCCGUGGCGGGGAACCAGGACUUUUACUGUGAAAAAAUUAGAGUGUUCAAAGCAGGCAAUCGCUUGGAUACAUUAGCAUGGAAUAAUGGAAUAGGACAAUGGUUCUAUUUGUUGGUUUCUAGGACCGUUGUAAUGAUUAAUAGGUAUAGUUGGGGGCAGUAGUAUUCAAGUGUCAGAGGUGAAAUUCUUGGAUUUAUUGAAGACUAACUACUGCGAAAGCAUUUGCCAAGGAUGUUUUCAUUAAUCAAGAACGAAAGUUAGGGGAUCGAAGACGAUCAGAUACCGUCGUAGUCUUAACCAUAAACUAUGCCGACUAGGAAUCGGGCGAUGUUGACAAAAUGACGCGCUCGGCACCUCAUG
Molecule: ribosomal RNA, 497 nt
Filed under: uncultured Glomeromycotina
Lineage: Eukaryota; Fungi; Glomeromycota
Description: partial small subunit ribosomal RNA
Rfam family: Eukaryotic small subunit ribosomal RNA
Source: RNAcentral